AGGUUCACCAUGAUACAAACUAUAAUAAAAGAAACAAUAGUUCAUGCAUACGAGACCACAACAUAAUUACAUCAAACAUCAUGCUGCAUUUAAUACUGAAAAUUAGAUCAAACAAUAACAGACCAACACUAUAUCAGACUCGGGCUCCAUUAGCAACCUUAAUCAAUUAUACAUCUAUAAAGUCACACAGUACAGUUUAAUUAUUUAUUUAGCUUUAAUACCGUGAUAGGAAAUAGGGUG
This 240-nucleotide long non-coding RNA is filed under the name Carica papaya (papaya). RNAcentral describes it as "long non-coding RNA (CPAP_LNC000259)". The record is from RNAcentral. Lineage: Eukaryota; Viridiplantae; Streptophyta; Magnoliopsida; Brassicales; Caricaceae.